Long non-coding RNA from Ctenopharyngodon idella (grass carp), 4404 nucleotides. RefSeq lists it as uncharacterized. The transcript is spliced from 4 exons. Lineage: Eukaryota; Metazoa; Chordata; Actinopteri; Cypriniformes; Xenocyprididae. The record is from RefSeq and is a predicted model, not a curated record.
UUUAUGUGCAAGUUUGCACGCAGAAAUCAGGAGUUGUCAAUAAGUUGCAUCAAAAUUUAUUUUAAAUUAUCAAUCAAGUUUAGAACCAACUGAUACGUCCGAUUAGAGCGACGUCUAGGCCUCUAAAAAACUUUAUUUGUUUUGUUGUCAUUUAUUUAAGAACUGUACGUGAGAGAGGUACGGAAGCUCUUAUGGACAUAGUUUGGGCGUUUUUUAUGCACAUCACUAGCUGCGGACACGUGCUUCCUCAGAAUAAUACAGAUUAAUCAACGCUGGAACAAGGGCAGGUGACCUCCCUCUUCCUGGCCUGUACUUCACUCUUAGAGGCAGCUGGACCUAUCAUUAAUCAUACGUCCACGGUGAUAUACCAUACAUGAAAAUGUUCUCUGCAACGCCGAUGCCCAUCCCGCCGAACACUGCUGCCUUGGAACCGACCUCCAUCGCCAGCAACAUCAAAACACAGAUCCUCACAGGAGGCCGGAGCUGAAUGAUUAUCUUGCGAUAAUUGCAGCGCUUUUGUUAUCUUACGGAGGAACUCACUUUUACACAUACCACAAGUUGUUUUCAGCAAAAUGCAUAGUCCAUGUUGCUCAGUGGAACCAGUGCCCCUACUGGGGCGCACUAGACACAGAUCUCCGCAACAGAGUGUUCCUGGGCUGCCGCACUAAUUCCUGUGCUGUUCGUAGAUCAGUUGCCCAAAUCCACCACAGCUUGUCCUCUGAUUUACCCUUCAAUUCCCCCUUGCCCAGAUUCAUCCCAGGAAAAAUCAACUAGCUACAUCCCGCAGCCAGCAAACACCAACUUCAACUCCUCAGCUAUGGAUUCUAGAAUGAAAGGUCUAGAAGGGAAGGUCUGAUGUCGCAGACCCAGUGCUUAUCAGUGCCGACAGCCCACGGCGGAGUCAAGGGAGGGAGGAGCCAAAAUGGUGUUGUGGUGGCAGACGGCAUCUGGGGGACGACCGACGCAGACUGGGACGAUGGAUCCAUAGAAACGAGCGACAUCGCUGGCACUGGAGACCUCAGCAAUGCCGCGGCGAGGAGUGUCGGAGGCGGAGCCAGAAAACCCGAGGGCUGAGGUGGAGCCGGUGUGACAGAGAACAGAGGUGAAGCUGAAGGGAAGGAGGAAUCCGCUGCAGCCAUAGGGGUGGAGGGACGGAGCGCAGCGGACGGUCCAUGGCGGAAGUAGAGUGACGACUGACCAAGUCGGAGCUGGUGGGACGAGGGAACCCAGAGUAGCUGCCAGGCCGAGGGUCUCAGGUGGAGAUAUUGUUGAAUAAAGUUUUUUAUGUUUUGUUUUUGCGCACAAAAAGUAUUCUCGUCGCUUUAUAAAAUUAAGGUUGAACCACUGCGGUCAUGUCGACUGUUUUAACAAGUACUUUUCUGGACCUUGGAAAAGUCAUAUACCUCUCGGAUUUCAUCAAAAAUAUCUUAAUUUGUGUUUGUGUCAAAAAUCUAAUUAAAAAAGAAGUUGAAUCAGGCUUCACAAUUGGCCCUUUUGACAUAUUAUGAAUAUUCAACUUUUUUUUUUUUUUUUUUUGAUAUUCCUAUAAACCACCCGUUGAAACCUCUUCUUGACACCUCUCUCAACUCCAUUUUUUCAAUCUUCAUUUUCCAUUCUUCCAUUCUUCUAGAACUCUCCAAUCUUACUUAACUGCAUGGAGAUGUUUUAAGUAAUUUCACUUUACAUACAACCUGCCUUGCAGGUUUAUCAGUGCUAGAUAGCGAACAUUACAGAUUUAUCAGCGCUAGAUAGGGAAACCUUACUUCAUCAAACAAAGACAGAUCAAACGAAAAAAGGCCAUUUCAUUUACAUUUUGAUUCUCCCAUCACCAAUUUAGUGGUACCAAUUCCUUUCAGCCUACUUAAAUUUCAGAAGCACACAGGCUUAAGUCCCGUCCCGCUCUUCGUAGAUGAUUCCAAUCACCCCAUCAUGCGUUUCUGGUUCCAAAAACACCUGAAAUCCAUUUUGAUUUAAUCCGGCAUCCCAGCAGAUCACUUUUCAAGCCAUUCAUUUCGCAUAGGUGCAGCAACCAUAGUUGCUCAAAAUGCCUCUCAGAUUCCAGCACUUGGCCAUUGGUCGUCAGAGGCUUUCAAGUGCUAUAUUAGACCCAAUCACUUCCAUAUCAAAGAAGUUUAAUGAACCUUUACAAGCUAAAUUCUCUAGCUAAACUCGUUCUUAUACACUCAAAAUCUACAGGCUUACCGUAUCCGCCUCAAUUUAAAUUUUUUUUUUUUUUUACUUCAUUGCCGCAGCAGUGUUUUCCCACCUGCUCCCGCAGGAGCCCACUCUCUUACCUUCAUUCUUUCACUGCCGCAGCAGUGAUAUCCCCUCUGCUCCUGCCGGAGCUCCGUUUCUCAAUCUAACCUUGCCUUCACUGCUGCAGAAGCGAUAUUUGCUCCACUUCUUCAUCUAACCUUUCCAUCACUGCCACAGCAAUGAUGUCCCCUCUGUUUGUCCGUUUGUCCGUCUAACCUUUCCAUCACUGCCGCAGCAGUGAUUUCCCCUCCGCUCCAGCAGGAGCUUCAUUUUUUCAUGUAACCUUGCCUUUACUGCCGCAGCAGUGUUAUCUCCUCUGCUCCCGCAGGAGUGCGCCCCAUGCGCGACUGUCCCCAGCCAACUACUGGCAAGGUUUACCCAUCCGAUGCUAUAAGUAUCAAACACCCGUUCAAUGAUGCGAGAGCUCUCCUGUUGUAACCUACUGUGAUGUUGUAAGGAUGCACUCGACACAGGUUACUUUGAACGAAUAUAUUUAAUUUAGGGGGAAACGCAAAAACAAAUACAGAAUGGCGCAGCAUAUAUCAGUCUCUGUCCAACUCUGUGUGAAUGCAGGGCUUAGGGGAAACCCCAAACAUGGGUCUUAAAGGAACAUACACCCAGACCAUUACACCGUUCCAGCAACCAACCCCCUCCCUGCGAAUGACGCACCAUCAGCUUUACACUCCACAAUUUUUUGGGGGGUUGUCCGUACUACUACUGGGUGCUGUCCUGCAUUGGUUUUGCAUCUUUUUUGGGGGAGGACUCUGGGUUCAGGCCAAAAUACUGAGCUCGGAGCCCUCUCCUCGGACAUGCGUGCCAAAUACGCAUACUCUUUAUUCCGUUCGAUUAUUUGUAAGUGUGAACUUGUGAAAUCAAUAUAUUGAUUUAGAAUUUGCAAACAUGCAUUCAUUAUCCCCUGAAUUUAGAGAGUUCCUGUUACAUUUGAAUAAUUAAAGUGUUUGUUCAUUAAGUCAUGGAGGUUUUUAAAACAAAAAUGAUCAAAAUGACACAUAGUAAUGUUUAAACCAAUGCUUUAUGCUAUUAUUUUGGUGAAUGUUUAUGUAAGCUUGAUAAUGUUGAAAGAAAGUUCUAUUAAUGAUACUGUGAGAAUGUUUUGUUUUUAACUUUGAGAGAAGUAUUGUAGAAUGUUCUGAGAAUGUUCCUUGUUAGCUGGGAUAUAGAUAUAAUAUAUUGUACAAAAACUAUUGCACAUAUGCCAGAACACCAAAGCCAUAUUGCAGUAAACAGGGGAAAGACUUGUGGGUAAAAUGUGGAGGUUCUGGAAGGACAGAUUAUUCAGUGGUUGGAAUAACUAAAUGCAACACACCAUGCCUUCCUCGUUAAAAUUCAAUGAGUUCCUGAUGAGACCACAUUAAGGCUGCUUUUUGAAAAAAAUAAAUGCAUCAAGCUGGACAGAUUCCCAUUUUGUUUACAAAUGGUCACCAGUAAGGUGUUGCUCUCAGUACCAAUGACUUAAAAACUCUUUGUUGGAAAAAACACAGUGCUAUUCUGUUCAGUUCAUUGGACAAUGAACUGCUGUGUACAUGCCAUAUAAAUAUCUUAUCUGCAAUAAUAGUGCCUUAUCUGCAAUAAUCAGCAGCUACUAAAUGUUAGGGUCAUCAACAGUCAUAAUUAAAGGCACUAAUUUCACAACAUCUCAUCGGAUUAAAGAAUAAAUCCACUGAAGUUAGCAGUGGGCGAUUUGUUGUAAUUUACUUGCUAAUAGUCUCAGGCAAACAGUGAUUCACAAUUAAAUGAACUGAAAUGACAGUUGAUAUGUCUGGCACUCAUUUUAGCUAGCAUGGCUGUGAAAUGUUGUUUAUGUGAGGGUUUAUAUGUGCUGAUGUUAAACCGGGUGUCCCAAGUGCCCUGUUUAGCAUCAUGUUGAGUAGCGUGCAAAAGAAAGAUGAGAGCCCCAAGGCUACAGUGCUGGACAAAUGUCUCUGCCCAUGCAUGAAGUCACAGAGCCACCGCAACACAUGUUUCAGUGUCUGGUGAAUGUCAUGCAUCAGCUGACCUAAUUUCUUCUACUUUAGUCGUUCUUUUUGCUGGAGGUCCCAGAGCCAUGGGUGAGAAACUAUUGUGGUUUUAAUUUGUAAGCUUUAUAAUUAUGCUGUUUAAUUUAUAGAUCAUAAUGAUUAUUUACAU